Molecule: ribosomal RNA, 396 nt
Filed under: uncultured bacterium
Lineage: Bacteria
Description: partial 16S ribosomal RNA
Rfam family: Bacterial small subunit ribosomal RNA
Source: RNAcentral
AUACGUAGGUGGCAAGCGUUGUCCGGAUUUACUGGGUGUAAAGGGCGUGUAGGCGGAGAUGCAAGUCAGGAGUGAAAUCUAGGGGCUCAACCCCUAAACUGCUUUUGAAACUGUAUCCCUUGAGUAUCGGAGAGGCAGGCGGGAUUUCCUGUGUAGCGGUGGAAAGCGUAGAUAUUAGGAGGAACACCAGUGGCGAAGGCGGCCUGCUGGACGACAACUGACGCUGAGGCGCGAAAGCGUGGGGAGCAAACAGGAUUAGAUGCCCUGGUAGUCCACGCUGUAAACGAUGAAUACUAGGUGUGGGGGGACUGACCCCCUCCGUGCCGCAGUUAACACAAUAAGUAUUCCACCUGGGGAGUACGAUCGCAAGAUUGAAACUCAAAGGAAUUGACGGGG